UAUUAUUUAAAAUGUAAAUAUUAAUAUAAAAGUAGUAAUAGAUAUGUUCUUGAAACUUAAAAAAUUUGGCGGUAUUUUAGUCUAUCCAGAGGAACCUGUUUUAUAAUCGAUAAUCCACGAUGGACCUUACUUAAAUUUGUAAUCAGUUUAUAUACCGUCGUUAUCAGAAUAUUUUAUAAGAAUAAUAAUAUUCAAUAAUUUUAAUUAAAAUUUAUAUCAGAUCAAGGUGUAGCUUAUGUUUAAGUAAUAAUGGGUUACAAUAAAUUUAUUUAAACGAAUAAAAUUAUGAAAAAAUUUUUGAAGGUGGAUUUGGUUGUAAAAUUAUAAAGAUUAAUAAUUUGAUUUUAGCUCUAAAAUAUGUACACAUCGCCCGUCGCUCUUAUUAUUAAGGUAAGAUAAGUCGUAACAUAGUAGAUGUACUGGAAAGUGUAUCUAGAAUGA
RNAcentral lists this ribosomal RNA (441 nucleotides) under Drosophila anceps. RNAcentral describes it as "partial 12S ribosomal RNA". Lineage: Eukaryota; Metazoa; Arthropoda; Insecta; Diptera; Drosophilidae. The record is from RNAcentral.